This 497-nucleotide ribosomal RNA is filed under the name uncultured bacterium. RNAcentral describes it as "partial 16S ribosomal RNA". It matches the Rfam family "Bacterial small subunit ribosomal RNA", at positions 28 to 507 of the family's 1533-position model. The record is from RNAcentral.
GAUGAACGCUGGCGGCGUGCCUAAUACAUGCAAGUCGAGCGAACAGACGAGGAGCUUGCUCCUCUGACGUUAGCGGCGGACGGGUGAGUAACACGUGGAUAACCUACCUAUAAGACUGGGAUAACUUCGGGAAACCGGAGCUAAUACCGGAUAAUAUAUUGAACCGCAUGGUUCAAUAGUGAAAGACGGUUUUGCUGUCACUUAUAGAUGGAUCCGCGCCGCAUUAGCUAGUUGGUAAGGUAACGGCUUACCAAGGCAACGAUGCGUAGCCGACCUGAGAGGGUGAUCGGCCACACUGGAACUGAGACACGGUCCAGACUCCUACGGGAGGCAGCAGUAGGGAAUCUUCCGCAAUGGGCGAAAGCCUGACGGAGCAACGCCGCGUGAGUGAUGAAGGUCUUCGGAUCGUAAAGCUCUGUUAUUAGGGAAGAACAAAUGUGUAAGUAACUAUGCACGUCUUGACGGUACCUAAUCAGAAAGCCACGGCUAACUUCGUG